RNAcentral lists this long non-coding RNA (1288 nucleotides) under Strigops habroptila (Kakapo). RNAcentral describes it as "lncRNA (ENSSHBG00005016216.1)". The record is from RNAcentral. Lineage: Eukaryota; Metazoa; Chordata; Aves; Psittaciformes; Psittacidae.
AGAAGGAGGGAGAGAGAAAGGAAAGACUGGGCAUGCAGAGGGAGAGAAGCACUGAAAAGCAGAGUCAGUGGGGAGGUUUUCCAGGGGAACAAAAAUAGCACUAAUGUCAGAAUAUACCACAGACGAACCGCAAAACGAGCAGAAAAUAUCAGUAGCAGCAGUUUUUGUAACCUUAAUGCAAGCAGGCAAGGUCACUAAAUUAGUCGUGGAUGGUGUAUGUUGGUGUUACACAAAGGCGAACAUAUCUGGCAAAGGUUUCUUUUAUUCGUCCGGAAACCUGCAGCACACGGAAUUACUCGCUCCCCAGAUAGUCGUGGGAUCUUAAAUAAUAAUAAAACCAUAAGAUAGCGUUUGUAUGACAAACCCCUUUCAUUCAGGGGCUGCUGGGCUCUGAGAAUUAAGCAGUACAAAGCAGAGAUGGAGACACUUCACCUUCAAGCGAACUAAAGACACGGCUUAAGACUAAAGACACGGCUUAAGACAAUGUUUUCUCCAGGUUUAGCUGCAGAAUCCCGCAACACGAUGUGAACAUCGCCCUCCCCUAACAUUUAAACACGAUGUGAACCCCCAUAAAAUAUUGUCCUUUCACGCUUAUCUCGACAUGAAACCAUCCCCAUGGAUGAAUGCAAAGUUAUGUGAAUAAAGUCCACUCAGAGUGCAGGGCAAAUAAAGCAAGAUCCUGAAAUAUUCUUCUUUUCAGUAGCAGUGUCUCCAAGCAAAUAUCCAGGCUGGAAUUAAAACACGCCUUGCUAUUGAAUUCAGCAGCUACAAGAUUUUAUGCACGCUCCAGCUAGACUCCUAUGCCUCCACAAAAGCUCCGGUACUUGUUUAAUGGGAGAUUACCUCUUCUGAAAUGAUGGUGAACUAUCACAUCCCUUCCAGGCAGGCUAAUAUCUUUUCCUCUCACCUCCCCUUUUGAAUCUGCGGGGGAAAGAAACUUAACUGCAUUGAGCAAAACUAAACACUAGCAGUCCACAAGCCGUGUGAAUAUUGUUAUUCUUUUCCCUGACGGAGAAUAAAAAUCGUAAAUAAAUAGUAAAAGAAGGAAAGUCGAGACGCAAAUUAGGAGGUUACAGAAAAUGAAGCCUUUGUCUGAGCACUGUCCUGGCUGGUUGACUUCUGACACCUUUUCGGAGCUAAAGGCUUCCCAUGUUCGCCCUGCUCCCUGCAAGUGCUGUGUGUGCUCAGCCCGAGCUGCAUCCCUGUGCACGCAAGCCAGGCUGUUUCCUCACUUCCAAAUCUUUUGCUUUCGCUUUGAGAAAUUCUCCCCUGAUUGGAAGAAAGGGAG